Molecule: ribosomal RNA, 253 nt
Filed under: uncultured bacterium
Lineage: Bacteria
Description: partial 16S ribosomal RNA
Rfam family: Bacterial small subunit ribosomal RNA
Source: RNAcentral
UACGUAGGGGGCAAGCGUUGUCCGGAAUCAUUGGGCGUAAAGAGCGUGUAGGCGGCUUGGUAAGUCCGCUGUGAAAGUCCAGGGCUCAACCCUGGAAAGCCGGUGGAAACUGUCAAGCUUGAGUCCGGAAGAGGCGAGUGGAAUUCCUGGUGUAGCGGUGAAAUGCGCAGAUAUCAGGAGGAACACCGGUGGCGAAGGCGGGUCUCUGGGCCGUAACUGACGCUGAGGAGCGAAAGCGUGGGGAGCGAACAGG